Molecule: long non-coding RNA, 448 nt
Organism: Apis dorsata (giant honeybee)
Lineage: Eukaryota; Metazoa; Arthropoda; Insecta; Hymenoptera; Apidae
Exons: 2
Source: RefSeq, a predicted model, not a curated record
AUAUAAAUUGAAAUGACUUACUUAAUAAUAAUUCUAAUCACGAGUUUCCAAAUUAAUCAUUGAAUCUUAAAUAGAAAAUGAAAAGUAUUUUAGCGAAAAAAAAAAAGAAACUUUUCAUUUCUAUUCACGCAACAGAAAAUUUUCGCAAUAUCGUGGCAUUCUUCUUCUCUUAAAAAAGACAGGUAUUCGUUAAACGGAAGGAAUUAUCGAAAAAUCGUCCAACUAUUAUCUUUCACCGCCUCCAUCCGAGCGAUAGCAUAAUCUCGCCUCGUUUCGUGUCAAUAUAAGACGAAACUUCAUCCCUUCCCCAACGUGGAUGCGUUGCACCAUCCUCAGACUUUUUAAUUGCGAAUCUUUCCACCAAGAAAUAUCGUGACUGUCGUCCAGUCGUCGAGGGGAGGAUGGAAUAAAAAUUCCACGUCUUAGCAGAGAAAUAAAAUAAAAUAAA